GAAUAUUGCACAAUGGAGGAAACUCUGAUGCAGCAACGCCGCGUGGAGGAUGACGCAUUUCGGUGUGUAAACUCCUUUUAAGAGGGAAGAUAAUGACGGUACCUCUUGAAUAAGCACCGGCUAACUCCGUGCCAGCAGCCGCGGUAAUACGGAGGGUGCAAGCGUUACUCGGAAUCACUGGGCGUAAAGGGUGCGUAGGCUGGCUUUUAAGUCAGAUGUGAAAUCCAAUGGCUUAACCAUUGAACUGCAUUUGAAACUGGGAGCCUAGAGUUCAGAAGGGGCAGAUGGAAUUAGUGGUGUAGGGGUAAAAUCCGUAGAUAUCACUAGGAAUAUCAAAAGCGAAGGCGAUCUGCUGGGAUGAUACUGACGCUGAGGCACGAAAGCGUGGGGAGCAAACAG
This 399-nucleotide ribosomal RNA is filed under the name uncultured bacterium. RNAcentral's name for it is "bacterial SSU rRNA". It matches the Rfam family "Bacterial small subunit ribosomal RNA", at positions 359 to 775 of the family's 1533-position model. The record is from RNAcentral.